AAAGCAAAUGGUGGAUGCCUAGGUGGUUAAAGCCGAUGAAGGACGUAGAAGACAGCGAUAUGCGUCGGGGAGUUGUCAACAAAUGAUGAUCCGACGAAUUCCGAAUGGAGAAAUCCCUGACUAUGAAAGUAGUCGGAGGCAAGAUCUCGCAAGAGAUUCUGCCGGGAGACCCGGGGAAGUGAAACAUCUCAGUACCCGGAGGAAAAGAAAUCGAAAGAGAUUCCGUAAGUAGCGGUGAGCGAAAACGGAAGAGCCUAAACCUCGCAAGAGGGGUUGCAGGGUCCAAUAUAAAGUUUUGAAAAAACAGAAGAAGGUUAAGGAAUGAACAGCCAAAGAGGGUGAAAGCCCCGUAUUUGAAAUUUGAGUAAAAACUGAUUGGAUACCUAAGUACCGCGAUCCACGUGAAAUGUCGCGGGAAUCUGGGCCGACCAAGGUCCAAGGCUAAAUACUUUAACAGACCGAUAGUGAACUAGUACCGUGAGGGAAAGGUGAAAAACACCCUAUAUAAGGGAGUGAAAUAGAUCUGAAACCAUUUGCUAACAAACAGACAGAGCCUCGUAAGGGGUGAUGUCGUGCCUAUUGAAGAAUGAGCCCGGGAGUGUUUCUAGUUAUCAAGUCUAACUUUGCUAAUUCAAAGGAAGGCGUAGCGAAAGCGAGUGCGAAUAGCGCGAAUAGAUGACUGGAGACGACCCGAAGCCACUUGAGCUAACCUUGGACAGGGUGAACAUCGAUGGAAGUCGAUGGGAGGCCCGUACGGAUCAGAGCUGCAAAUCUGUCCGAUGAUCUGAGGUUAGAGGUAAUAUGCCAAUCGAAAGUGGGAAUAGCUGGCUCUCUCCGAAAUAUAUUUAGGUAUAGCGUCUGAUGGUGGGCAAUGGGGGUAGAGCUACUGGAUGAGUGUUUUGAGCGCAAGCUCAGGCAUUUAACCAAACUCCGAAUACCGUUGUUUCUAGUCAGGCAGUCAGUCGAUCCGGGCUAAGCUGGACCGGCAAAAGGGGAAGACCCCAGACUCUCAGUUAAGGUCUCUAAAUCUAUGUUAAGUGGGAAAGGUAGUGGGUUGCCUAAGACAGACAGGAGGUUGGCUCAGAAGCAGCCAUCCUUUAAAGAAAGCGUAAUAGCUCACUGUUCGACUCCGCAAGGAGUCGGCAACCUGCACCGAAAAUGUAAGGAGGCUAAAACAUAGUACCGAAACUGGAGAUUUUUAGAUUCCUUCGGGAAUUUAUAAAUGGUAGGAGAGCGUUCUUGGUGCGGCGAAGGUUGACUGAAAAGUUUGCUGGAGCGCCAAGAAGUGAGAAUCCGGGCAUGAGUAACGAAAUUCAGGUGAGAACCCUGGACUCCGAAAUAUCCAAGGUUUCCGCAGCUACGUUGUUCGUCUGCGGGUUAGUCGAUCCUAACAUGAGGCCAGUAUAGUGCUGGCGUAGUGGAUGGAUAACCGGUUAAUAUUCCGGUACUUUGGUAAAUUCGUUAUCAGUUGGGGCGAGACGGUGAGUGGGAGGUUUAGAGUAGAAGUGAAAUGCUACUUUCAAGCGUGUAGUUAGAAGGGGUUGGUAAAUCCGCCUUUUCGUUAUAAAGCGAAACGCAAAUAAGAGUUUUCCGUAAGGAGAACAAUUGAAUUGAACCCACUUAUCCAAGAAAAGCGUCGCAAUGAGAAUUUACUGAAUUCGUACCAAAACCGACACUGGUGGAUGAGUCGAGAAGACUUAGGAGAUUGAAAGACAGAUGAUUAAGGAACUUGGCAAAUUAGCUGGGCGUAAGUUUUACAAGAUGCCCUGCCCGCCCUAACAAGCGGGCUACAACAAAAGAAUGCAUGGCGACUGUUUACCACAAACACAGGUCUCUGCAAACCCGUAAGGGGAAGUAUAGGGGCUGAAACCUGACCGGUGCCAGAAGGUUAAGAAGGCGGGUGAUAGACGUAAGUUUAUUGCUUGUUUUAUAAGCCCUGGUGAACGUCAGCAGUAACUCUAACUGUUCUAAGGUAGCGAAGUCCUUUGUCGUGUAAGUUACGACACGUAUGAAAGGUUCAACGACUGUGCAACUGUCUUAAUCAUCUAUUCAGUGAAAUUGAAAGAGCGGUGAAGAUGCCGUUUAAUUACAUCAGGACAAAAAGACCCCAUGAAGCUUUACUGGAUCUUUACAUUGAUAAGAAUAUAAAUACUGUCGAGCGUAGGAGGGAGCCGCAAGGCGCCAAUGGAACACCUCCCUUAUUUAUUUUUGAGUCUUACCUAGUCGAAUGAAUCUUCGACGGGGACAGUGUAUGGUUGCUAGUUUGCCUGGGGCAGGCACCUGCAAAAAAGUAACGCGGGUAUACAAAGGUCAACUUGAUCCGGCUGGAAAUCGGAUCUUAAGUGCAAAAGCAAAAGUUGGCUUGACUGUGAGACUUACAAGUCGAAUAGCACUAGUUUACUAGAGCUAUGCCGAGACUAGAUUCUCGGUACAGGGUCGAAAGACGGUUUUAGUGAUCCUCGUGACCUAUUUGGUAUAGGCACGGGCUUACUGGAUAAAAGCUACUCUGGGGAUAACAGGCUGGUCGCAUCCGAUAGUUCAUAUUGACGAUGCGGUUCGGCACCUCGAUGUCGUCUUGGCGCAUCCUGGCCCUGAAGAAGGGGCCAAGGGUUGGUCUGUUCGCCCAUUAAAGCGCUGCGUUAGAUGGGUUCAGAGCGUCGCGAGACAGCUCGGUCUCUAUCCGAUGUAAUCGUUCGUUUCUUGAGGGGAUUCGUCUACAGUACGAGAGGACCUAGACGAGGGAACCGCUUGUGUGCCAGUUGUGCCGUCAGGCGCAUUGCUGGGUAGCUACGUUCCUAUUAGAUAACUGCUGAAAGCAUCUCAAGCAGGAAACUGACCCCGAGAUAAGGAAACGUUGUUCCGCAAGGAGCGAGAGAUCGCCGGGAGACUACCGGUUAAUACUCUGCGUGUGCAAGAUCCGUAAGGAUUUAAGCUAAGCAGU
This 2941-nucleotide ribosomal RNA is filed under the name Candidatus Shapirobacteria bacterium GW2011_GWF1_38_23. RNAcentral's name for it is "23S ribosomal RNA". It matches the Rfam family "Bacterial large subunit ribosomal RNA". The record is from RNAcentral. RNAcentral also lists the same sequence under 1 other name. Lineage: Bacteria; Candidatus Shapironibacteriota.